RNAcentral lists this ribosomal RNA (167 nucleotides) under uncultured rumen bacterium. RNAcentral describes it as "partial 16S ribosomal RNA". It matches the Rfam family "Bacterial small subunit ribosomal RNA", at positions 340 to 524 of the family's 1533-position model. The record is from RNAcentral.
UACGGGAGGCAGCAGUGGAGAAUAUUGCACAAUGGGCGAAAGCCUGAUGCAGCAACGCCGCGUGAGGGAAGACGGUUUUCGGAUUGUAAACCUCUGUCCUGUGUGAAGAUAGUGACGGUAGCACAGGAGGAAGCCACGGCUAACUACGUGCCAGCAGCCGCGGUAAU